Molecule: RNA transcript, 2392 nt
Organism: Rosa rugosa (rugosa rose)
Lineage: Eukaryota; Viridiplantae; Streptophyta; Magnoliopsida; Rosales; Rosaceae
Exons: 7
Source: RefSeq, a predicted model, not a curated record
AAAACAAAGUUAAUGCUAAAUGCCUCAGACAACUUGAGGGCACACCUACUCUCCCAGACCGUAAGGAAACCUUUCUCUCUCUGAAAACAACCCACCGCCCAGUUCUCCUUCUUCCUCUCCUCUCUCUUGUCAGAUCUCGAUCUUUUAUCGGGAUCCUUGGCUUGAGAGUGGGGGGGGGGUGGGGGAAGGCCUUAGAUCUAGCUUUCUUUUCUGUUUUUGUCGGUUUUAUUUUCCGUCUUGCUUUUCUUUCAACCGGUUUCACCAUGUCUGCCGUCUUUGGUGGUUUUGUAGCUCGGAGUUCGUCUCCGUUCUGGUCUUGCCCCAUUUUCUGUGUUUCCGAUUUCACACUUCCCUAUUCAAUAGUUUCCCUCCUUUUCAUCUCCCUCUGUUCUGCUUGGUUUGGUUCAUCGGUUCUUCGGAGCCACUCUCUAUGUGGGAUUUUCUCACUAUCGCACGGGGUGAUGCAACAAGAUUCUGUGUACCUUCGGGUGCCUGUCUCUUCGAUUCCACCUUCAUCCGGUUUUUUCGGACUUCUUUCAUCUGGUUUAUCCAGUUGUUGUGUCUUUGGUUCUUUUGGCAGACGAGGUUGUUGAUGCAGAUGAGGGUUUUGGUGAUUUCUGGAGGUUUGAAGGCUAGUUUCAUGGAUUUUGGCAUAGGUCUUGCUCGACCCAUUGUCCUGAAAUGCUCCUGUCGCUAUUUGCUUCACGUUGGGUUCAAGUAGAUGAGGGUUCUGGUGAUUUCUGGAGGUUUGAAGGCUGGUUUCAUGGAAUUUGGCAUAGGUCUUGCUUGACCCAUUGUCUUGAAAUGCUCCUGUCGCUAUUUGCUUCACGUUGGGUUCAACUUGGGUUCGAUUUGGGGGUUUUCCAUUCUGCUGAAAAGGGGAUUGAGUUGGGUUCGAGUUGAAGGAGGAGGAAAGGGGUUUCACGGGUUUAGGGAUUGUUGCUCAAUUCCUUUCGAUUGCAUCAAGAGCAACCUCAUUGGCUCUCACCUAGUCGAAUCUGCUCACUAAUCGAUACUAGUUUCCUUUUCUCUUUCUCUAUGUGUUUCGGUUUGUUUAAAUUAAAGAUAUGCGGUUGAUUUUCAAGGGUAUUGAGCUUGUUUAUUUGCUGGGUUUCAGACGAAUAAGAAGAUGCAAGAGAAGAUGGAAAGGAGACUUGGGGGUAUAAUUAAUUGCUCUAAAUCAUGAGGAGAGAAGAAGCCUUUGCCAAGCAUUUGAAGCUUAUGAAUUGGGUGGCGUGUUGAUGUCUUGGUUUGUCUUCACAAGUGGGGUUAUGUGCAGCAGGGGAAACAAUAACGCCAUACAUUACUAUAACUACGGUUUGAGAAUGGAAUUUGCUUUAGAUUUGCAUUUAAGGUCAACUUAUGUUCAUGUGUAGGAACUAAAUGUAAUUCAAUGGAACUUAUUAUACUCUUAUCUAUUUGCAUGUCUUAUGGUUUCUGAUGGCCAUAGACAUAAUUUGUUGUAUUGACCAUAUAUAAAAUGUCUUUGUUGGACUCUCUAAAUCAAGGUCAAUGGUGCUAGAGAAUGAUCAAUUAGUAUAGCUUGGGUAUAAAUGUAUGAUAGAAUGGGGUACUUUAUUUAAGAGAUGCUCUGACUUGUUUAAUUUUAUCAAAUAUAUGUGCCGUAAAGGUACUUGUGAAUAGCAAAGAAGCUUGUGAUCAUGGGCGCAAGGUGGGAGGCUGCAUUAUAUUUUUUUUUCUUUUGAGGAAGAGCUCAGAGCUUGUAAAAUUUUCUAUGCUCUUUGGGUGCCUAAUCUAUUCAUGAAAAGGGUUGGAAAUAAUGAAAAGUGGUCACUCUUUUGUCCUAAUAGUGUCCAGGUCUGGGAGAUUGCUAGGAUGAAAGCUUCGAACAGCUUUGCACUCGUCAUGAAAAGUAAGGCCAAAAGAGUUGUAUCUUCCCAACAACGUUGGUAUGAGGUUUUGAAAUCCCAGAUUGAAACAGGAACUCCAUACAUGCUUUUUAAGAGUAAGAAAAAAGAAUGACAGUAUGGUUUAUGUCAAAAGAUCAUGUUGUUCAAGUAAAGGAGGGUGCAUGUAGUUGAUGCUGGAUAAAGACAGGUGGGGAACUAGAUUUGAUUCCAUGGCUAAACAAAUCAAAAUUUAACUCACCAAGAAUCGCAUCAACUUUAUAGGUUUGACACCAUGGCUGCACAAACUAAGUUCCGGGAAUAGUGGGAAGACAAGAGUUUGUAUCAAUAUGUUGGCUGUAGAAACCAAGUUCCUGCACACACUAUAUGUGGCAUGUUUAAUUUGGAACAACGUAGUUGUAUCAGCUUUUGAUGUCCCAAGUAGAUGGCCAUGCAUUUGAAUACUUUUCUUCUAUUAAUGGUUGCUUGGAUGAUUGGGAAAUGCUCCCUUUUAACAUUUGAGAUAUAUGGAAUGGGUUUGAUUA